Long non-coding RNA from Mytilus californianus (California mussel), 744 nucleotides. RefSeq lists it as uncharacterized. The record is from RefSeq and is a predicted model, not a curated record. The transcript is spliced from 2 exons. NCBI's taxonomy places the organism in Eukaryota, Metazoa, Mollusca, Bivalvia, Mytilida, Mytilidae.
UUACCUUUGUGUAUUCUACUUCAUGACAGAGAGGAGUUAACGACCUUAAAAUUCAAGAUGAGUGAAACAUUUUAUGGUAGAGUGACUCACGAGGAAAUUAACAAACUAGUUCGUCAAUAUAAAGGAAAACUGGCUGAUCCGUUAAAACGCAACCUUCAAAAACUACGACUUCAAAUACACAAAGCUUUAAAUGGAGAGGAAGAUUACCAUGUUUACAUUUAUAUUUCUGACGAGCUUGACAACCCAAUAAAAUUUGAAAAUGGGUCAGGAGACAAUGAAUUAGUUAUCGAUAUAGAGGAAGACGGAAUCGAGUGCACAUGGACAAAGAGGUCAUGGUGGAAAAGAACCAAAGAUUUUUUCAAAGAAGCAGCAAAUGAAAUUAUAGAUGGUUUGCGUUCUUUAUGGGGAGGCAUUAAAGCUAUAGGUGGAUCGGCUAUAAAAGCAAUUGCAUGGAUAGUUUGACCUGUUCUCAAACACUAUAACACUAAAUCAAAGCUUUCAAAAUUAAAAUGUAAAAGUUUUAUAGUUACAAGAUAAAAUAUUCAUAGAAGAGUUUAUAUUUUAUAUUUUGUUGUAAAGUUGUAGUAUUUUCUCUGUGUAUCAAAUUAUCAUACCUAAAUAGAUAAAACGGAGGUCAUAUCUUAUAAUGUUUAAACAGUUUUAUAUAUUUGAAUUAUCAGAUUAGUUUUUUUUUUAUAAUUCAUUGAAUUGAGCUGUAAACGAAUAAUAAAAUGCAAAAUACAA